This 74-nucleotide transfer RNA is filed under the name Hordeum vulgare. RNAcentral's name for it is "tRNA-Asp". It matches the Rfam family "tRNA". From Rfam's summary of the family: Transfer RNA (tRNA) molecules are approximately 80 nucleotides in length. Their secondary structure includes four short double-helical elements and three loops (D, anti-codon, and T loops). The record is from RNAcentral. Lineage: Eukaryota; Viridiplantae; Streptophyta; Magnoliopsida; Poales; Poaceae.
GGGAUUGUAGUUCAAUUGGUCCCAGCACUGCCCUGUCAAGGCAGAAGCUGCAGGUUCGAGUCCCGUCAGUCCCG